UUUCUGACUCUUUCUCUGUUAUUGCUACUCAGGCAACUCCUGUGGAGUUGAGAUGCAGCCUCUGGGCCACAGCAUGCAGUGACUGGCCUAUGGGAUCGCCUCCUUGACUCUAGCACGUGGCACGUGCCCUAAUGGCCCCAUUCAGAAGAUUCUCACAUCUGCCUCCUAGUGGUGACAGCCUGGAAGAGAAAAUUAGAUGGAUCAGCAUUUUAAAACAUUGAAUGUCCUUCAAGGACAGCACCUUGG
This 246-nucleotide long non-coding RNA is filed under the name Rattus norvegicus (Norway rat). RNAcentral describes it as "long non-coding RNA NONRATT032002". Lineage: Eukaryota; Metazoa; Chordata; Mammalia; Rodentia; Muridae. The record is from RNAcentral.